Long non-coding RNA from Olea europaea var. sylvestris, 2314 nucleotides. RefSeq lists it as uncharacterized. The transcript is spliced from 4 exons. The record is from RefSeq and is a predicted model, not a curated record. Lineage: Eukaryota; Viridiplantae; Streptophyta; Magnoliopsida; Lamiales; Oleaceae.
AAAAAUUCAAACAAUUACAAUUAUGCAACCCUAACAAUUCCUCUCUCACGGGCAAUUCUUCCUCUCCCAUUAUAAUAUCAUAAAUCUUCUCUCUCCAAUCCCUCUUCUCAUCUUCACGCAAUUCAGAGAAGAUGAAGUUAUUGCCAUGGUUGGGUCUCCAUCCUCACGCCUCUUUUCAUAGUUGCCUCUCUCCACUAAAAUUCUUCAUCUUCCUUUGAUUUUGAGCCUUUUGUAAUGCUAAUUUAGCAGAUUUUGGGUCUUGUCGUCUUCAAGGAUGACAUUUGCAACGUUACAAUGAUGGCUAUUGUCUAGUUGUUGGAUGUAUUCCAUAUAGAUUCAGAGAAACCAAAACAUCACCUCCAAUUCAUGGGACCGUAAUUGAAGAAUUGGAAGUUUUAUUGAUUACCUCUCAAAAGAGUCCAUGAAUGAUGUUCCCAAAGAAGUUCUACAACGUGUGUGAGAUACAAAGGGAUAUUGAGAUAAACUCCAUCAGCCAAUUCACAAUGUAAUUAAGUUGUAACUUGUUCGACUUAAGUAUUAUUGUCAUGUUAUUUGAUCAUUGAUCAUUACUUAUGUGUUGCCACAAUGCAUCUAAAUUAAAUACGUUGCUUUCGAGUGCAGAAUCGAUAUUUUGCUUCAUUUUGAACCAUGCCGAAGAAACCAUUUGCAACAGCAGAGCAGAGAGCAUAGGAUGAUUAUAGGAAUCGUCUGUCAUUGAAGUCUUUUAUGUGCUAUUGUAAGAAUAGAAACAUUACAUUUAACUUUGAAAAUUCAUGUCAUCUGUGAUAAUGUUGGCUUACAAAGUUCAGUGAUAAAUAAUGAGGGACUUUUUGGGAUGAGUGCUUGUCCUACGAGUUAAGAUUCUAUAAUUUGCAUUUGACUGUUGAUAUUAUAUUUAAACAAAUCUUUUGAUGGCAUUGUUCUUCAUCACUCUUAGACACUUUACAGCACUUUCUUGUGCCUGAUUAUUUAUUAAACCUGUAAACACCAUGGCAAGUGAAGAUCAAACGCCACCAGAAAAGUCCCAUUCCAAAUAUUCAAAUAACAGUAAUGUCAAUCCGAGAAGAGAUUCAUUGAAGCCAUACUUUGUUCAUUAUUCAGAUCAGCUUGGACAUAUACUCAUUCCAACAAAAUCUGAAUGGUGCCAAUUAUUUGGGGGUAAAAGCAUCUUCUUUGUACGCAUUAUUCUUAUCGAAUUAAGGGUUAGUAAGCAUUAUUCUUAUUGAAUUUUAUUGUGUAUGUAGUGCUAAAUAACAUUGUAAAAUUAUCUUCUUUGUUAAUUAUAUUCAGUGUUGUCCAAUCCAACAUACAAAACAUGCCCGAAAACUUUAUGUCCUCUUAUUUUUCUCCAUUGCAUUUUCUUACAGGAUAAAUUAGGUGAAUGGAUUUUCAAGAGUAGAAGCAGAGACACAUUUCAUGAGGGCUACAUGUUUCCUAUGCUCGUUACAGAGGAAUUCGAUGUUUGGCCAGAGAAAAAUGUCCGUCAGUGAAUAUGGGUAAGUUCCCUUGUCAAAAUCUAUGUGCACGCUUAUGUAAAGUUUGUUCGUAAGCAAUUUGAAUUGCUUUUGUGUAAGUAAUAUGUCGAAUAUUUUCCUUGUUCUUGAGAGGCAAGAAUCUUAAGGGCCGUUUUCUCCAAAGUUGUCCUAUAUAUUCCUCUCUGGUCUUUUGGAUACUCAUUUGUACCAUAACUUGUUGGCAUCCAUCAGCUCUAAAGCGACAGUGGCAGUACGUUUUGUUCAUUUCAGUAUCUGACUUUGCUUUCUGGAAUUUUUGUUUGGUUUCUCUCUAUUGAUCACAUAACUAGGGCUUGGGGAAAGAUGGAAGUGGCAUGGUAGAGCCUGUCCAAGUUCAGGUCACGGAUACUAGAGCGGUACUAGGGAAUCAGCCUAAGAAGUUGGAUCCAAAACUCGAAGUGCAGGCUGGAGAUAGUUAUAAAGCUGUUAUUCAAAAGAAGGCCAUUGCCCGGUUUUGAGAAAUAUCAUAGGUGAGUUGACAGGGAAGAAGCUGUUUUUCUUGGUGCUCCACUAUUUGUUAUCCCUUUUGAGUUAUGUUUGUAGAACUGGUGAAAGUCACUGUAGGCAAGGUUAAUUUAUCGCCCUGGGGUUGUGAAAUAGUUGAAAUUAGAGAUUGCUUCGAUUAACCGGUGAUCUUUAUGUUAUAUCAUGGUUACUUGAUUUGUCCCUUCGUCUCCAAUGCCAUUGUUUAUGUGAAAUUUGUAGUUUGGAUAGUUUAUUGUAGUUUCCAGCUGUAUAGAGGAUGCAACAAAAAUUUGUAAUGAAAUUAUUAGUUUUUAUGCAAUUCCAAAAUUUGUUCA